UACGUAGGGGGCAAGCGUUAUCCGGAUUUACUGGGCGUAAAGGGAGCGUAGACGGCGAUGCAAGCCAGAUGUGAAGGCCCGGGGCUCAACCCCGGGACUGCAUUUGGAACUGUAUAGCUAGAGUGUCGGAGAGGCAGGCGGAAUUCCUAGUGUAGCGGUGAAAUGCGUAGAUAUUAGGAGGAACACCAGUGGCGAAGGCGGCCUGCUGGACGAUGACUGACGUUGAGGCUCGAAAGCGUGGGGAGCAAACAGG
This 253-nucleotide ribosomal RNA is filed under the name uncultured bacterium. Its description in RNAcentral is "partial 16S ribosomal RNA". It matches the Rfam family "Bacterial small subunit ribosomal RNA", at positions 524 to 776 of the family's 1533-position model. The record is from RNAcentral.